CUUUAGAAGAGUUGUUUGCGGAUCUUGAUCUGAGUGAGGAACAUGAAGACAACAUGAGGGAGUGAAUGGAAGGUGUGUUGUUCUUUUAUUUCUUUCAAUUUUGUUUCAUUUUGGGGUAUAUUUUUUUNNNNNNNNNNUAUUUUUUCCCCAGAGGAAAGAAAUUGUUAAGAAAGGAACAGAAAACAUUUUCCAUAUCCAUCCAGCUAGCAUUUUACGUCCUAGGUUGGGUAUAUUGGGUAGGUCUGCUGACCAGGUUUUAGCUGGAUGAC
This 269-nucleotide unclassified non-coding RNA is filed under the name Hevea brasiliensis (rubber tree). Lineage: Eukaryota; Viridiplantae; Streptophyta; Magnoliopsida; Malpighiales; Euphorbiaceae. The record is from RNAcentral.